This 1344-nucleotide long non-coding RNA is filed under the name Chloebia gouldiae (Gouldian finch). RNAcentral's name for it is "Erythrura gouldiae (Gouldian finch) lncRNA (ENSEGOG00005019015.1)". Lineage: Eukaryota; Metazoa; Chordata; Aves; Passeriformes; Passeridae. The record is from RNAcentral.
GGCUGGGAGCCUCUGGCUCUCCCAUCCCUGGGGUGCGGCCGAAAGUGUGGGCAGAGCCGCGUCCUCUCGUUUGCCUUGGGGCUGCACCCAGGUGGCCUCCCCGCUGUCCUGCGUGGCGAGAAGCCGCCUCCCCGCGGGUGGAGCCCCACGCCUCGGCCAGCCGCGUGUGCUCGGGCUCCCCGCUGCCUGUGCUGCGGGGGGCAGGGACGAGGCGCCCUGCGGGACGGUAUCUCUGCCACGAAGGACAAGGGCAGCGGCUGGAGCCUUGCGGCGGGAGGACACCACGGCCGCGACCCCGGGCUGCUCCGUGGGCAUACCGGGGAGUCCCCCGCAGUUCGGGUGUCGGUACGCCGUGUGCUCUUCGGGAGAAGCCGUCCACGCAGUCAGGGCCAUGGGGCACCGGGGAAAACGGCCCGCGGGGCUGGAGCCGCAGCUGUACCGGGGCUGAUCGGGCGGGGAAGGGCUGGAGGGAGCGGGCGCCGCCUCCCGCACGGGCCGCCCCGUCCGUGCCGCAGGUGCGGCCGGCGCGGCUCCUUUAAGGCCCCGGCGCCGCCCUCCCCUGCCGGCUGCCCCCUCCCGCUGCCGGGAGGCGCCGGCCGGAGCCGCUGCAGGUACCGGGAGGGUCGUGGGAUCGGGCGGGGGCACCGAGGGUUCCUCCGCGGACGGGGGAGGACGGGGAUCCCUCGGCUGGAGGGGAGUCGGGGGGAGGCAGGGGUCCCUCGGUGGUCCGGGGGUCCAGCCGCGGUGUCCCGGGCAGGGGCAGUUGUCAGCCCCGGUGGCCGCGCUGCGAACGCGGUGCUCCCGGCCCCGGAUCCCACUUUUCCCGACAGAGAGGAGCCUGGGGUCCGCCCUGCCGCCCCCUCCUCCCCGAGGGACGCCGGAGCGCGGCUGCGGGGACGGGAAGGUCCCUGCCGCCGGUUCCGCCGAGCCGGGCGGGAGCGGGGAGCGGCUGCAGCCCCCGAGCAAGCGCUGCGGCUCCGUCCAGGCUGGAGCGGCCGCGGCCGCCCCGCUCCUGUGCCGCCGCCUGCGAGCCGGAUCCGGCCCUGCCACCCUGGUGCGCGUCCGCUCGCGGCGGCUCCUCGGGCUCGGGCAGCUCCGAGCCCCGUUCGUGGGAGGGGCGGCCCGGGGCGGCUCCUUCCUGCCGGGGCUGCCCGCGGCUGCUGCGCGUCAGCCCGGUCCCACGGAGCCGGCUGGGGUCACCGCGGCGGCGGGGCUGGCAGGCGGCCCGAGCCCAGCCCGGGGCAGGCGGUGGAGGCGGCGGGCGGGCCGGUGUCCUGGGUGCCGCCAGCCCCCGGCCCAGCCCCGGCAGCGGGCACGGGCACCUCGCGGGGCGCGACCCGCGCU